Molecule: ribosomal RNA, 164 nt
Filed under: uncultured bacterium
Lineage: Bacteria
Description: partial 16S ribosomal RNA
Rfam family: Bacterial small subunit ribosomal RNA
Source: RNAcentral
UAGGGAAUCUUCCACAAUGGACGCAAGUCUGAUGGAGCAACGCCGCGUGAGUGAAGAAGGGUUUCGGCUCGUAAAGCUCUGUUGUUAAAGAAGAACAUAUCUGAGAGUAACUGUUCAGGUAUUGACGGUAUUUAACCAGAAAGCCACGGCUAACUACGUGCUAG